GUGAAUCAUCAAAUCUUUGAACGCAAAUUGCACUCUCUGGCAUUCCGGGGAGUAUGCCUGUUUGAGGGUCAGUAUAAUCAAAAUCGGAGCGAUGCUUUUUGGGUGUCGCACCGGUGUUUGGGUCAUCUUAACUCUUUUUUUUACGAUACCUAAAAUUAACAUUCUUUUUUGCUUACUUUUGAUCCGUACAUAGUUUUUUUUUAUUCGUCUACCCUGGUGGCAAAUAUUUAGUUAGUUCGUGAUUCAGGUAGAGUGAACUC
RNAcentral lists this unclassified non-coding RNA (260 nucleotides) under Rhizophagus clarus. RNAcentral's name for it is "partial contains 5.8S ribosomal RNA and internal transcribed spacer 2". The stretch from base 1 to 71 matches the Rfam family "5.8S ribosomal RNA", at positions 84 to 154 of the family's 154-position model. The record is from RNAcentral. Lineage: Eukaryota; Fungi; Glomeromycota; Glomeromycetes; Glomerales; Glomeraceae.